RNAcentral lists this transfer RNA (68 nucleotides) under chicken gut metagenome. It matches the Rfam family "tRNA", at positions 5 to 66 of the family's 71-position model. Rfam says of the family: Transfer RNA (tRNA) molecules are approximately 80 nucleotides in length. Their secondary structure includes four short double-helical elements and three loops (D, anti-codon, and T loops). Further hydrogen bonds mediate the characteristic L-shaped molecular structure. tRNAs have two regions of fundamental functional importance: the anti-codon, which is responsible for specific mRNA codon recognition, and the 3' end, to which the tRNAs corresponding amino acid is attached (by aminoacyl-tRNA synthetases). tRNAs cope with the degeneracy of the genetic code in two manners: having more than one tRNA (with a specific anti-codon) for a particular amino acid; and 'wobble' base-pairing, i.e. permitting non-standard base-pairing at the 3rd anti-codon position. The record is from RNAcentral.
GUCUGUAGCUCAGUAGGAUAGAGCAACGGCCUUCUAAGCCGUAGGUCAGGGGUUCGAAUCCCUUCAGG